This 388-nucleotide ribosomal RNA is filed under the name uncultured soil bacterium. RNAcentral describes it as "bacterial SSU rRNA". It matches the Rfam family "Bacterial small subunit ribosomal RNA", at positions 26 to 407 of the family's 1533-position model. The record is from RNAcentral.
AGGACGAACGCUGGCGGCGUGCUUAACACAUGCAAGUCGAGCGGUAAGGCCUUUCGGGGUACACGAGCGGCGAACGGGUGAGUAACACGUGGGUGAUCUGCCCUGCACUCUGGGAUAAGCCUGGGAAACUGGGUCUAAUACCGGAUAUGACCUGCUCUCGCAGUGGGGGGUGGGUGGAAAGAUUUAUCGGUGCAGGAUGGGCCCGCGGCCUAUCAGCUUGGUUGGUGGGUAAUGGCCUACCAAGGCGACGACGGGUAGCCGACCUGAGAGGGUCGACCGGCCACACUGGGACUGAGACACGGCCCAGACCUCCGUACGGGAGGCAGCGAGUGGGAAUAUUGCACGAAGUGGGACGAAAGCCUGAUGACAGCCGACGCCGGCGUGGAGG